This 471-nucleotide ribosomal RNA is filed under the name uncultured bacterium. RNAcentral describes it as "partial 16S ribosomal RNA". It matches the Rfam family "Bacterial small subunit ribosomal RNA", at positions 28 to 507 of the family's 1533-position model. The record is from RNAcentral.
GACGAACGCUGGCGGCGUGCUUAACACAUGCAAGUCGAACGGAAAGGCCCUGCUUGCCGGGUGCUCGAGUGGCGAACGGGUGAGUAACACGUGGGUGUUCUGCCCCUUACUUUGGGAUAAGCCCUGUAAACUGGGUCUAAUACUGGAUAGGACCAUGCUGGACGUGGUGUGGUGGAAAGAUUUUUUCGGUAAGGGAUGAGCUCGCGGCCUACCAGCUUGUGGGUGGGGUAAUGGCCUGCCAAGGCGUCAACGGGUAGCCGGCCUGAGAGGGUGGACGGACACUCAGCGGCUGAACUGCGACCCAGACUCAUCCGGGAAGCCGACGUGGGGAAGACUGCACGAGGGGCGGACGCCGGAGGCAGCGCCGGCGCUUCGGGGAUGCCGGCCUUCGGGUUGUAAGAUCCUUGCAGAGCUGACGAAGCCGCUGUGGGAGUGACGGUAGUGGUAGAAGAAGCACCGGCUAACUCCGUG